RNAcentral lists this non-coding RNA (25 nucleotides) under Rattus norvegicus (Norway rat). Lineage: Eukaryota; Metazoa; Chordata; Mammalia; Rodentia; Muridae. The record is from RNAcentral.
AGCAAGGAGAACAGCCACCCUGACC